AACGAACGCUGGCGGCAUGCCUAACACAUGCAAGUCGAACGAGACCUUCGGGUCUAGUGGCGCACGGGUGCGUAACGCGUGGGACUCUGCCCUUGGGUUCGGAAUAACAGUUGGAAACGACUGCUAAUACCGGAUGAUGACGUAAGUCCAAAGAUUUAUCGCCCAGGGAUGAGCCCGCGUAGGAUUAGCUAGUUGGUGGGGUAAAGGCCUACCAAGGCUACGAUCCUUAGCUGGUCUGAGAGGAUGAUCAGCCACACUGGGACUGAGACACGGCCCAGACUCGUACGGGAGGCAGCAGUGGGGAAUAUUGGACAAUGGGCGAAAGCCUGAUGCAGCAAGGACGCGUGAGGGAUGAAGGGAUGAGGGGUGUAAAGCGCGUUUACCGGGGAGGAUAAUGACAGUACCGGGAGAAUAAGCCCCGGCUAACUCCGUG
This 433-nucleotide ribosomal RNA is filed under the name uncultured bacterium. RNAcentral describes it as "partial 16S ribosomal RNA". It matches the Rfam family "Bacterial small subunit ribosomal RNA", at positions 29 to 507 of the family's 1533-position model. The record is from RNAcentral.